GAGAAUAGUUUAAUGGUAAAACCUUGGUUUCCAAAAAGCGGCAUUUAAACAUUAUAAGUUAACCAUAA
RNAcentral lists this transfer RNA (68 nucleotides) under Jaagichlorella roystonensis. Its description in RNAcentral is "tRNA-Trp". Lineage: Eukaryota; Viridiplantae; Chlorophyta; Trebouxiophyceae; Watanabeales; Watanabeaceae. The record is from RNAcentral.